UUUCUAUAAAUACAAUGCUGUAAAGACAAUAAAGACGAACGUGAUUGGCACGCUAAAUAUGCUUGGUCUUGCAAAGAGAGUUGGCGCAAGGAUUUUGCUUACCUCAACCUUAGAGGUAUAUGGUGAUCCUCUUGUGCAU
Molecule: long non-coding RNA, 139 nt
Organism: Helianthus annuus (common sunflower)
Lineage: Eukaryota; Viridiplantae; Streptophyta; Magnoliopsida; Asterales; Asteraceae
Exons: 3
Source: RefSeq, a predicted model, not a curated record